This 468-nucleotide ribosomal RNA is filed under the name uncultured bacterium. RNAcentral describes it as "partial 16S ribosomal RNA". It matches the Rfam family "Bacterial small subunit ribosomal RNA", at positions 28 to 507 of the family's 1533-position model. The record is from RNAcentral.
GACGAACGCUGGCGGCGUGCUUAACACAUGCAAGUCGAACGGAAAGGCCCUGCUUUUGUGGGGUGCUCGAGUGGCGAACGGGUGAGUAACACGUGAGUAACCUGCCCUUGACUUUGGGAUAACUUCAGGAAACUGGGGCUAAUACCGGAUAGGAGCUCCUGCUGCAUGGUGGGGGUUGGAAAGUUUCGGCGGUUGGGGAUGGACUCGCGGCUUAUCAGCUUGUUGGUGGGGUAGUGGCUUACCAAGGCUUUGACGGGUAGCCGGCCUGAGAGGGUGACCGGCGACAAGGGGACUGAGGUACGGCCCAGACUGCUACGGGAGGCAGCAGUGGGGAAUAUUGCACAAUGGGCGGACGCCUGAGGCAGCAACGCCGCGUGCGGGAUGACGGCCUUCGGGUUGUAAACCGCUUUCGCAUGUGACGAAGCGUGAGUGACGGUAAUGGGUAAAGAAGCACCGGCUAACUACGUG